This is a long non-coding RNA of Orcinus orca (killer whale), 6341 nucleotides long. RefSeq lists it as uncharacterized. Lineage: Eukaryota; Metazoa; Chordata; Mammalia; Artiodactyla; Delphinidae. The record is from RefSeq and is a predicted model, not a curated record. The transcript is spliced from 2 exons.
UACACGUCUGACAAAAGGCUGUGAGUUAAAGAUGAAUUCUCCUGACCACCACUCACAACGAAAAUUAAGGGGCACUAGCAGAGGACUCACGGGCAGGCUAGUCUGACUACUCAAAUCUUGACCCCAUAGAUAACACUCAAUUCUCCCUGCACUUUCCUGGGAGGAUGCAGGUAGGUAUAGAUAACCCCAAACCAAGCUGAAUCAAAGCAGGCGUAUGCAGUAAAACCUCACGUACUUUGACCAAUGAGGGGUCAGAGACAAAGAUCUAGCCUGUGCAAUUUAAGAAGUUAAUUUACAGAGCAUCCUAGAAGAAAGUUUAGUUUAGUAAACUAAACUUAGUAAACUUUAGUUAAAAAAAACACUUUAAUAAAAUCCCCAAGUUACUCCAAAUGCCUUCUUGACAAAGUCCUGCCCUGCUACCCAAAGAUUCUACUACCUGCCAUUAGUGGCAGUCAUAUGAAAGCAAAGCAUCAGCAAGGACGGGACCCAAGUUCACUGAGAAAUAUCACCUGCUCCAGGGCUUUUCAAAUACUGCAAGUAACCAGUUACCAAAGUACCACUCCCAGACCACAGCGCACGUGCCCCCAGAGCUCCGCGUCAGGCUCACGAUCCUUCCCAAGCCACUAACAACUGAUCAGAGCCGGCAUCAGUGUGGAAGCCUGUCUGUCAAUCCUGUCCACGUUCUUAAAAGUGCCUGGGGAGUUUGGUUUGGUGGAAAAAAACAUGGGCAUGAAGGACAAAUAGUUCUCACUCUCACCCUGGUUCAACAACUACCAGAUACACAGGCUUGUGUUAGUCAAACCCUUCUGGACCCGUUUCCUCCUGUUUAAUUCGGUGACACCAGCUCUACAGAAUUACUGUAAACUGAGAAGACACACAGCGGAGUGCCUGGCACACAUUCUCCAUAGGUUUGUGCUUCCAUCUGAGAAAGGGGGUGCCCAACGGUUUGUCAAGCAAUGAUGAGUGUAUCAAAACAAGAGAGAACAUCUAAUCGACAGGAGAACACCUGUUUGUUCUUAGGUACUUCUUGGCAUUGAAUUAUUCUGCAAACAAUCAAUGUACCAAUUCCAAAGGCCCUUUAACUGUUACUGCUUUGGCAGAAUUUGAUAACCAUUCAUAUUUAUUAUUUUAUCUCCUUGAAAAUAAAACGAAUUCUUCCACUGACCUCCUUCCUCCCUCACCUGAUCCACAUCCACUCUGCCUGUUUGCCCUAAUAAGGCUCUGCUGUGCAGCCACCUUUGUACAGCCAUGACAGUUCGGGGGACAGGGUGAGAGAUUAGUCAGGAAAAUAAGGAGAGAGAAGCGCUGGGGAAGCUGAUAUAGGGAAGUAAUAAGUCAGGAAGGCUUCCCAGAGGAAAUCAUAAGAGCUUUAGGAACAAAGUAAAACAAGAUGGUAGAAAAAUGGGCAGGGCAUUCUAGAGGUACGGAGAAAGCAGGGCAGAGAGAGGAAAGAGUUCAGGGGUAAGAGCCUGAGCUUUGGCAUCAGUUCUUAGGCAAGUUACUUAAUUUCGAUUUCUUUAUCUGUGAGGAUUAAAUGAGAAUGCAUUUAAAGCUACGAGGUGGCACAAUUAGAGCUGUGGAGACAGGAGCUUAGAAAUCUCAGCACCGGAAUCUGAGGUAAGACGGCUAUCAAGGUGUAUGUUUGUGGGAAGAGGAGUUCCCAUGAACACUUACUUUGAGAGACCCACACGCCCGAGGAAAAUAGGUCAUACAAGCCUUCAUUCCUUCCAGUGCUGAGAGCUCACUCUGUGGGGAAACAGAAAGUAAGGAAGAGGCCGAGGGCCCAACGCCCCAGACCCUAUUUCCACCCCACCGCACGCCCCUCAGGGUCCCUUCUCCUUAUACUUUUUCUUGGCCCGGACCCCUUCUCACUUCUUCAGUCCUAUUCCCCAAUCACUUCCCAUCACAUUCUUUAACCCAAUGGGUAUCAGUGAGGGCAAGCAAUGCAAUGGGCCCAGGGGAGGGGGACCCGGGCAGGCGUCUCACCUCCGGUCUGAGGCCCAGCAGGGAGGUGAGAAGGCCAGGAAGGUGGUUCAUGGAGAUGUCCCGGAAGAGUGUGGGGAGCUGGGCCGCGUAGCGGAGCAGGUCCCCCAGCACAGCCACGGCCAGCUCCAUCGUGGGGGGCGGGUCCUGGGACUAAAGAGCAACAACACCCCAUGCUCCCAACCUCACCUUCACGGUCACCGAAAGGAGGAAUGAGAGGUAUGAAAACAUGGGGCUUUUGACAAACACCAGUUAACGUCAACAUUACCAUCAAAUCUACUAGGGACAGCGGCUUCCCUGGUGGCGCAGUGGUUAAGAAUCCGCCUGCCAAUGCAGGGGACGUGGGUUCAAGCCCUGGUCCGGGAAGAUCCCACAUGCCACGGAGCAACUAAGCCUGUGCGCCACAACUACUAGGCCUGCGCUCUAGAGCCCGCGCACCACAACUACUGAAGCCCAUGCGCCUAGAGCCCAUGCUCCGCAGCAAGAGAAGCCACCACAGUGAGAAGCCCGCGCACUGCGACGAAGAGCAGCCCCUGCUCGCCGCAACUAGAGAAAGCCAGUGCACAGCAACAAAGAUCCAAUGCAGCCAAAGAUAAAUAGAUUAAAAAAAAAAAUCCACUAGGGACAGAGCGUAUUAGAGAUAUGGAGCAUCCGAAGUAACACAUUCAUCUACAGACAGGACGUGUGUUCACACUUUAGUACUAUGCGCGUCUGGGGGUCCGAGGAAUUUGGGGGGAAAAAAGGUAACAAAGCCAUACUUUAAAGAUCUGCCUGACUAGAGCAUCUCAAGAGUUUCUUUCUGCUCCCAUACUACAUUUCCCUGCUAGGAAUGGAGAGGAGCACUUCUCAGACCACAAGAAAAGUCUCAGCCAAAACAAAACCGCCCCAUCUCGCCAAGCUUGCUUCUGGCUGUGUCAGACCUACCGUGGAAUUCACGGAGGAAAAACGGCUUAAAUUUAUAAAGAAGGACUUCUCUAGAAAAUUAACAUGUAUCUAAGGGAAAAGCCUUCAGCACAUUACCCCCUGCUAGACCAGACGCCACGUGUCAAUGAAACAAACAAGAAUGCUUGUUAGGAAGUCCGACUCAGUGGGCCUACCAACCACAAGCAGGCCUCAACACUGUCCAGCAAUCCUCCUGCACCUCUCGCUCGUUAACUCCCUUUGCUACUCAGCCCCUCUCCCACCACCGUCACCUCCGUAUAACCUAACCUGCAACUUCAGAGAAAGCUGAAGCCCAAAGAUGGGCACUCCCUCAGCUUCCGACCACCAAACUGAAAACUCCACCUCCAUCCUCAUCCCUGCUCUCCUUCCUCCUGUCCCACUAGAGGAGAUGCUCCUCCCAUCCGAGGACAAUCCCUCCUCAGUGCUUUAGAUAGUCCCCCCUCCCUUCUUCACAGAACCUAACCCUGUAAACUGGCCCCCUCUCUCCAAUCCCUUUCAAAAGGAUUCUUCCUACUGACAUUUGUGCAUGCUCCAGUCUCCCCCAUCCUAAAAGUCCUUCUCCUGAGCCCAGACUCCACUUGCCCAAUCUCAGCUGUUGCCCAGUUUCUCCCUCUUACCAGCAGAGCCAGACGUCUUGACAGGACUGCCUACCUUCUCCACUUCCACUCCUUCUCCCACUCACUGCUCAUCCCAGGGCAACCUGGCUUCCGUGUCCACUGCUCCACCAAAAAACACUUUCACAGUCUCAUUACCCUUGAGUUGCUAAAUCUGAUAAAACAUUUUCAGUCCUUGUCUUAUUCCAGCUCAGAAGGGCAUAAAGAGAAAUGACUCCUCCGUCUUCCCUGAAGUAUUUGGAUUCCAUUCAACCCACCAUCCUGGUUAUCUCCUUUCUGCUGCUCUGUCUUGUCUGCUUUUUUUUUUUGCGGUUCACGGGCCUCUCACUGUUGUGGCCUCUCCCGUUGCGGAGCACAGGCUCUGGACGCGCAGGCUCAGCGGCCUGGCUCACGGGCCCAGCCGCUCCGCGGCAUGUGGGAUCUUCCCGGACCGGGGCACGAACCCAUGUCCCCUGCAUCGGCAGGCGGACUCUCAACCACUGCGCCACCAGGGAAGCCCUGUCUCGUCUGCUUUGUAAGCUCAUCCUCCUCUACCUGACCACUGACUGUGGAGCGCCUCAAGAUCCAGUCUGUAUAAGUAUUCAACUUGAUCAUCUGAGCCUCAUCCUCAGCUGCAGCUGCCAUCUAAAUGCUGAGGACUCUUCCUCUUUGUAAAACAUAUUGACUGAAGCCCCCACCACUGAACCCUCAGGGUUACCCUCUGAGAUAUCUGGUCACUUCCACGCACACUAGGUCAAGGGUAUGCUUCCUGGGGGCCUCUACUGAAUGCCCAAGACCAUACUCAUGUUAUUUUCACCACUCCCCUUGGAACCUGGCUGUCUUCCAAUGUUCUGAUACCCGGGAGUCAUCCUGGACACAUCCUUUCCCUGACACUAUUCCAUCAUUAGGACCUGUUGUCUAUUUUGCCUCUAAAUCUCUCUUGAAAUCCCUCUUUGCCUCCAAAUCUCUCACCUACUUCUCAUCAUGUCUCCAGCUGCCGCCCUAGUCCAGGCUACCGUGAAUGCUCUCCUAGGUUACCCUUAGUACCUUCCUCGUGGUCCUUCUGCUGCCAUUCUGGCUCCUUUCUAAUCCUGUCUCACCACAGCAGCCAGAGUGGUAUUUCCAAAUGAAAGUUUGAUCACGUCACCACUACCACCACCUCCUUCCCCCUACUCAAAACCUUCCAUGAAUUCCCACUGUUCUGAGAAUAAAAACCAAACCCCCUAAUAUGCCUACAACGCCACACACAGCCUGGUCCCCAUGCACAUACCUCCCCGGUCGCAUCUCAUUAACCUCAGCCACACCAGCCUGCUUAUAAUUCUUUACAAAUGAGUCAAACUCCUUUUCUCUCAGGACUUUUGCAGGCUUAGAACACUUAGAAAACUCUCAGCCCAGUUCACUCCUACUCAUCAGAACAGCCCUCCCUGAACCACUGACCCUGAUCACCACCCCAGUCUGGGUCAGGUUCUCUCGUUACAUGCUCUCAGAGAACUACAUUCUUUACCUCCAGAGCACCUACUGAAGUUUAUCUUUUCACACUCAUUGUAUAAUUAUUCUCUUUCAGGACUUCCUUGGUUAAGACUCUGCACUCCCAAUGCAGGGGGCCCGGGUCCAAUCCCUGGUCGGGGAACUAGAUCCCACGGGCACGCCGCAACAAAGAGUUCACAUGCCGUGACUAAGGAGCCCACGUGCCACAACUAAGGAGCUGGCAAGCUGCAACUAAGACCAGGCGCAACCAAAUAAAUAAAUAAAUAAAGUAAAUGAAUAGAUUUUUAAAAUAAAAUAAAAAGCACUUAAAAAAUAAAUAUUAUUCUCUUCCACUAGAACACAGAUCAGCAAACCAUGGUCUCUUGGUGCCUGUUUUUGCACAGCCCACAAGCUAAGAAUGGUUUUUAAAUUUUUAAAGGGUUGGAAAACAAACCCACAAAGAAACACUACGCAAUAGAAACCAUGGGAAUUCCCUUGUGGUCCACUGGUUAGGACUCCACACUUCCACUGCAGGGGGCACGAGUUUGAUCCCUGGUUGGGGAACUAAGAUCCCAUGUGUGUGAGGCACAGCCAAUAAAAAACAGAAACCAUAUGGGGUUCGUAAAACCUAAGACAUUUUACUAUCUAUAGACACCUAGAAAGUUUCCCAACCCCUGCAAGAGACUCUAAACACCUGAAAGCAGGGUCCAAGUACAUCUCUCCACCAGAGCUUAGCACACAACCUGCCAUGUGUGCCCAGAACAUGCUUGUGGAAGAACUAAGUGGGGAUGUCAUCAAAGGUUGUAAAAGCAGAAAAAAAUUUAAAUGUUAAGAGGAAGAGAGGAGUAGGGAAAAAAAACACCUGGGGAAUUCCCUGGCAGUCCAGUGGUUAGUAUCCUGCGCUUUCACUGUUGAAGGCACGAGUUCAAUCCCCGGUUGGGGAACUAAGAUCCCACAAGCCACACAGCGUGGCCAAAAAAAAAAAUUAAAAAAAAAUUUGGGGGGACUUCCCUGGUGAUGCAGAGUGGUUAAGAAUCCGCCUGCCAAUGCAGGGGACACGGGUUCAAACCCUGGCCUGGAAAGAUCCCACAUGUCAUGGAGCGACUAGGCCCGUGCACCACAACUACUGAGCCUGAGAGCCACAACUACUGAGCCCACGUGCUGCAACUACUGAUGCCCAUGCCCCUGGGGCCCAUGCUCCGCAACAAGAGAAGCCACCACAGUGAGAGGCACGUGCACCGCAACUAAGAGUAGCCCCCACUCGCCUCAACUAGAGAAAAGCCCACACACAGCAACGAAGACUCAAUGCAGCCAAAAAAAAAAAAAAAAAUUAGUAAACUAUUUAAAAAAAUCAAA